GCCACCACCCAUCCUGCUUGAACCCCAUCUGUCUCUUCCCUUUUCAAAGCCUUUUAAACGACCGCCGCCGCCACUUUCUGUCUCCUCGUCAGCCUUCUUCAUCACCCUCUUCCUCGAUCGUUAAAGAUCUCUGACGACGAUUGCCUCUGAUUCUUGUUGGAACCCUAACCACCGCCUAGGACUUUGGAUUCUUAUCCUUGCUGGAUCCUUACUAUAGCAGUCCUGAAAUAAAUCUAUUCAUGCUAUAGCAAUCCAUCCUUUGUCAUCUUGGAGGUCUAAUUAAUGCUUCUGCUUGUUGUUUGCUAAAAUCUGCUUGUGAUUCUAUAAGAUUAGCUGAGGAACUUUCUGUGCAUCCCGAUGAGCAAUCUGUUCUUGGACAAAUCAAUAUUGGUUUAUUUUCUAUGCCAUGCAAAAAUUCUUUGACUGUCUUUCUGGCUAUCUACUAAUCACGAAAGUGGUACACUAUUCGUGAUUUCUCUAACUAACAUGUAAAGAUAUGCUUCCUUUCAUUGUUUCUGUCCUCCUUUCUGACUGCUAUGGCGUCCUUAAAUCACGACAACAAACAAUCCUCGACACCUUUAACUCCCGAUUUUGAUGCUGCGAUAAGGAAUUUAGCGGCGAUUACAGUAAAACUCAAUGGCACUAACUAUCUUUUCUGGACCCAAUCAUUCAAACUAUUUAUUGGUGCCCAACAAAAGACGCUGCACCUAACUGAAGAUCCUCUAAAUUUCAAAGAUCCUAUCUAUGACGACUGGCUAGCUAAUGACUGCUAAUGAAAUUCUUGAUUGCUAUUGUUAGGUCAAGAUAAAAAAAUCUUACUGUCUCUAUCUUUUGGUAUUUUCAACUCUAUGUAACAAGCUAGAUAUGUUUGAUAUAUAUGCUCCAACUUGAAGAAGAGUGUUAGAAUUAUGCUUAUAUAAUAGGUCCUUACAUAGGAAGAACAUAUUUAAUAUGUCUCUAAACAUAAUAUGAACUUGCUUUUCAAGUAUGUACUUCUUUCCUUAUGCACUUAUUUCUCAUCUAUUUAAAAAGAUAGGAUCUCAUUAAUAAAUGACAUUCCUUUGAGCUUUUUCUUUCAACAUUGCCAAAUCUGAAGCAGGUGCAAUUAUGGAUGCUGGGAAGUGGAUACUUGAGAAACACUUUUAUGAAUGAAAUGCUUAAGAAAUAAGGGAUUAAAGUGGAAACAGGCUGUAGAUUCUGAGAAGAUUCCAAAACGGGUGCCUUUACACUAUGUGAAAGAUUCUGGCUACUAAGGGACAUAAGCAAUAAAGUAUAUCUUUGGUUAAACUCUGAGACAGCUUCACAUACACAUGUCAACAUCUACUUUAAAGUCCAGCAUGGCAAACCUUAAGAGUUAAGAACUAUUUCCACACUCCUAUUACAAUGUAUCCAAACUAAUACUUGUGAUAGCCCUAGAACUCAAAACCAAUAUCCUUGUUGUCUAUUUUUCAUGCUUGCCGUUUUCUAGGACACCCUUGUCUGAAUUCUUAAGCUCUUCAAAGGCUUUCAAAGUGACAACCUGAUAGCCUUCUAUGCCAUAAAAUCUAGGUUAAUUAGGAGAGCAUUGACAUGCAAUCAUGAUUCACUGUCUUCCCUACCACAACAAAAAUCCAAAAUGGCUCAUCAAAAGAAAUCACAACCAUUCAUAUAAAAGGCAUCUAUAACUUCUACAAUAACUUUUGUACUAGAAGUAUCAUAGUGCAUUGCUAUUGUGUAAUGAAAACCAUUACCAUCAAAACUAAGAAAUAGAUGUUACACAAGAAUUUUCACAAAAGGAUUGCAUCCCUUGAUACUACCCUCCAUUUUUUCUU
RNAcentral lists this long non-coding RNA (1811 nucleotides) under Elaeis guineensis (African oil palm). Its description in RNAcentral is "long non-coding RNA (EGUI_LNC059419)". Lineage: Eukaryota; Viridiplantae; Streptophyta; Magnoliopsida; Arecales; Arecaceae. The record is from RNAcentral.